CCUACGGGAGGCAGCAGUGAGGAAUAUUGGUCAAUGGACGAGAGUCUGAACCAGCCAAGUAGCGUGAAGGAUGACUGCCCUAUGGGUUGUAAACUUCUUUUAUAUGGGAAUAAAACGUUCCACGUGUGGGAUUUUGUAUGUACCAUAUGAAUAAGGAUCGGCUAACUCCGUGCCAGCAGCCGCGGUAAUACGGAGGAUCCGAGCGUUAUACGGAUUUAUUGGGUUUAAAGGGAGCGUAGGUGGUUUGUUAAGUCAGUUGUGAAAUGUUGCGGCUCAACCGUAAAAUUGCAGUUGAAACUGGCAGUCUUGAGUACAGUAGAGGUGGGCGGAAUUCGUGGUGUAGCGGUGAAAUGCUUAGAUAUCACGAAGAACUCCGAUUGCGAAGGCAGUUCACUGGACUGCAACUGACACUGAGGCUCGAAAGUGUGGGUAUCAAACAGGAUUAGAUACCCUUGUAGUC
This 460-nucleotide ribosomal RNA is filed under the name uncultured bacterium. Its description in RNAcentral is "partial 16S ribosomal RNA". It matches the Rfam family "Bacterial small subunit ribosomal RNA", at positions 338 to 795 of the family's 1533-position model. The record is from RNAcentral.